CCUGGGAAAAGGGCUGAAUCUCCUAUGAUCAAGCGGAUGGCUUUGUUCGAGUCAGACAGGCAGACAAACUCCUUCCCAACAAACAGGAGAUGAAACAAAAUUCUCUGCAAAGUGAAAUCAAAUGCAUAAUAGCUGAGCCUGCAAAGGAAAUGCCCUGAACUCGCCUGCUCAGAUCACUUGGCUGCUACCUUACCCCUCACUAAUUGGCCAGGAGAACUGCUCAACUCUUCAUAGCAAG
RNAcentral lists this long non-coding RNA (238 nucleotides) under Calidris pugnax (ruff). Its description in RNAcentral is "lncRNA (ENSCPUG00000009000.1)". Lineage: Eukaryota; Metazoa; Chordata; Aves; Charadriiformes; Scolopacidae. The record is from RNAcentral.